RNAcentral lists this ribosomal RNA (254 nucleotides) under uncultured bacterium. RNAcentral's name for it is "partial 16S ribosomal RNA". It matches the Rfam family "Bacterial small subunit ribosomal RNA", at positions 524 to 776 of the family's 1533-position model. The record is from RNAcentral.
UACGGGGGGAGCAAGCGUUGUUCGGAUUUACUGGGCGUAAAGGGCGCGUAGGCGGCCAGCACAAGUCAGUUGUGAAAUCUCCGAGCUUAACUCGGAAAGGUCAACUGAUACUGUGCGGCUAGAGUGCGGAAGGGGCAACUGGAAUCCUUGGUGUAGCGGUGAAAUGCGUAGAGAUCAGGAAGAACAUCGGUGGCGAAGGCGCUCUGCUGGACCAUAACUGACACUCAGGGACGAAAGCUAGGGGAGCGAAUGGG